AAACCAGCACCUCAAGUGGUCAGGAGGAUUAUUGGGCCUAAAGCAUCCGUAGCCUGCUUUGUAAGUUUCCGGUUAAAUUCAUUAGCUCAACUAAUGGCCUGCCGGAAAUACUGUAGAACUAGGGAGUGGGAGAGGUAGACGGUAUUCGGUAGGAAGGGGUAAAAUCCUUUGAUCUAUUGAGGACCACCUGUGGCGAAGGCGGUCUACCAGAACACGUUCGACGGUGAGGGAUGAAAGCUGGGGGAGCAAACCGGAUUAGAAACCCCAGUAGUCC
RNAcentral lists this ribosomal RNA (274 nucleotides) under uncultured bacterium. Its description in RNAcentral is "partial 16S ribosomal RNA". It matches the Rfam family "Archaeal small subunit ribosomal RNA", at positions 473 to 747 of the family's 1478-position model. The record is from RNAcentral.